AUUGAACGCUGGCGGCAUGCUUUACACAUGCAAGUCGAACGGCAGCGCGGGCUUCGGCCUGGCGGCGAGUGGCGAACGGGUGAGUAAUGCAUCGGAACGUGCCCAGUAGUGGGGGAUAGCCCGGCGAAAGCCGGAUUAAUACCGAAUACGACCUGAGGGUGAAAGCGGGGGACCGAAAGGCCUCGCGCUAUUGGAGCGGCCGAUGUCGGAUUAGCUAGUUGGUGGGGUAAAGGCUUACCAAGGCGACGAUCCGUAGCUGGUCUGAGAGGACGACCAGCCACACUGGGACUGAGACACGGCCCAGACUCCUACGGGAGGCAGCAGUGGGGAAUUUUGGACAAUGGGGGCAACCCUGAUCCAGCCAUGCCGCGUGCGGGAAGAAGGCCUUCGGGUUGUAAACCGCUUUUGUUCGGGAAGAAAUUCUCUGGGCUAAUACCCCGGGGGGAUGACGGUACCGGAAGAAUAAGCACCGGCUAACUACGUG
RNAcentral lists this ribosomal RNA (484 nucleotides) under uncultured bacterium. RNAcentral's name for it is "partial 16S ribosomal RNA". It matches the Rfam family "Bacterial small subunit ribosomal RNA", at positions 29 to 507 of the family's 1533-position model. The record is from RNAcentral.